Molecule: ribosomal RNA, 465 nt
Filed under: uncultured bacterium
Lineage: Bacteria
Description: partial 16S ribosomal RNA
Rfam family: Bacterial small subunit ribosomal RNA
Source: RNAcentral
GACGAACGCUGGCGGCGUGCUUAACACAUGCAAGUCGAACGGAAAGGCCCUGCUUGCAGGGUACUCGAGUGGCGAACGGGUGAGUAACACGUGGGUGAUCUGCCCUGCACUUCGGGAUAAGCCUGGGAAACUGGGUCUAAUACCGGAUAGGAGCCAUUUUUAGUGUGAUGGUUGGAAAGUUUUUUCGGUGUAGGAUGAGCUCGCGGCCUAUCAGCUUGUUGGUGGGGUAAUGGCCUACCAAGGCGGCGACGGGUAGCCGGCCUGAGAGGGUGGACGGCCACAUUGGGACUGAGAUACGGCCCAGACUCCGACGGGAGGCAGCAGUGGGGAAUAUUGCACAAUGGGCGCAAGCCUGAUGCAGCGACGCCGCGUGGGGGAUGACGGCCUUCGGGUUGUAAACUCCUUUCGCUAGGGACGAAGCUUUUUGUGACGGUACCUAGAGAAGAAGCACCGGCUAACUACGUG